Molecule: long non-coding RNA, 1171 nt
Organism: Cervus elaphus (red deer)
Lineage: Eukaryota; Metazoa; Chordata; Mammalia; Artiodactyla; Cervidae
Exons: 3
Source: RefSeq, a predicted model, not a curated record
AAGGCGAAGUUCACGAGCCACGAUUGGCCGCGCCUGGUCGCGCCUCAUAUGACGUCAGAGACAGAGACCAAUGGGAGUCCAAGGGCAGCCUCGCGGGAAGACGGCAAGGGAGGCCGGUGAAAGUUGGUCUAAAUAUGGCAGAAGGGCCACCUGAAAGAGAUUUCUGCCACAUCGAAGCAAGGAAGUGACAGGCCUGUAAGCCAGGCAGACACCAUGAUUGGAGGCUUCAAGCCAGGCUUGUCAGCACCUAAACAACAAGACUGAAAACCAAACGCCAGAGUGGACAAAGAGCGCCUCUGAAUUCGUGCUGGACCAGAGAUGUGAGGACCAGACAUCUCCUGCUUCUCCUCGUCCUGGCACCUUACACAUUCGCUAACCAGACACAGCCCUGGGGAAGGGCGCUGGUCUUCCAUGAUAAGAUUAUUGUCCCUGGCAGCUGAGUGGGCCUUAAAGUAAAAAUAAAGUUCAGUUACAGAAAAAAAAAUUCCCAUUGUUCCACAUUUGAGUUUGUAGACUGAAGUUUCAUUCCUGCUACAACAGUAUCACCUGUAUUAUGACCUGAAACUGAAGUCGCUCAGUCGGGUCCGACUCUUUGCAACCCCAUGGACUGUAGCUUACCACGCUCCUCUGUCCUUGGGAUUUUCCAGCCAAGAGUACUGGAGUGGGUUGCCAUUUCCUUCUCCAGAGGAUCUUCCCAACCCAGGGAUUGAAACUAGGUCUCCCGUAUAGUAGGCAGACGCUUUACCGUCUGAGCCACCAGGGAAGUCAUCUGUAUUAUAUAGUAACCGAAAAUGCUCAGGUUUUAUUAUGAGAAUUUCCCCUUCCUCAGAGAUCAUGAGGUUUUCAUUAACAUUUUUAUUUGGAGCCUGUAGUUGACAAGAACAAAGCUGAGGAAAACCAACAAACACUGUCCUGCUUGGCGUCGUCACCUCACUGGUUAUGAGCUCCUCUGGAACAGAGUCCAACACCCCACCCUGACCCCUGCCUCGGCCGUAGUAACACAGUGCUUACGCUUACUACUAAGCCCACACUCCAGAGCCUGUGGGAUGCAACUACUGAGCCCAUGUGCUGCAGUUACUGAAGCCCAUGAGCUUAGAGCUGGUGCUCCUCAAGAGAAGCCACCGCAAUGAGAAGCUCGCACACCACAACUAGAGAAGAGCCUCUGCUUGCU